This is a non-coding RNA of Fomes fomentarius, 92 nucleotides long. The record is from the annotation of a GenBank genome assembly. NCBI's taxonomy places the organism in Eukaryota, Fungi, Basidiomycota, Agaricomycetes, Polyporales, Polyporaceae.
GGGCACAUGGUGUAGUUGGUUAUCACAUCCGCUUAGCAUGAUCUAGCUAAUCUGCCUGCGGGGGGUGCUGGGUUCAAUUCCCAGUGUGUCCA